This 451-nucleotide ribosomal RNA is filed under the name uncultured bacterium. Its description in RNAcentral is "bacterial SSU rRNA". It matches the Rfam family "Bacterial small subunit ribosomal RNA", at positions 340 to 786 of the family's 1533-position model. The record is from RNAcentral.
UACGGGAGGCAGCAGUGGGGAAUAUUGCACAAUGGGCGCAAGCCUGAUGCAGCCAUGCCGCGUGUAUGAAGAAGGCCUUCGGGUUGUAAAGUACUUUCAGUCGUGAGGAAGGUGUUAAGGUUAAUAACCUUAGCAAUUGACGUUAGCGACAGAAGAAGCACCGGCUAACUCCGUGCCAGCAGCCGCGGUAAUACGGAGGGUGCGAGCGUUAAUCGGAAUUACUGGGCGUAAAGGGCACGCAGGCGGUUAAUUAAGUUGGAUGUGAAAUCCCCGGGCUUAACCUGGGAAUGGCAUUCAAGACUGGUUAGCUAGAGUCUUGUAGAGGGGGUAGAAUUCCAUGUGUAGCGGUGAAAUGCGUAGAGAUGUGGAGGAAUACCGGUGGCGAAGGCGGCCCCUGGACAAGACUGACGCUCAUGUGCGAAAGCGUGGGGAGCAAACAGGGAUAGAUACC